GACGGAGGGGGCUAGCGUUGUUCGGAAUUACUGGGCGUAAAGGGCGCGUAGGCGGAUUAGUAAGUUGGGAGUGAAAGCCCGGGGCUUAACCUCGGAACUGCUUUCAAAACUGCUAGUCUAGAGUGAAGUAGGGGGUGAUGGAAUUCCUAGUGUAGAGGUGAAAUUCUUAGAUAUUAGGAGGAACACCGGUGGCGAAGGCGGUCACCUGGGCUUCAACUGACGCUGAGGCGCGAAAGCGUGGGGAGCAAACAGG
This 253-nucleotide ribosomal RNA is filed under the name uncultured bacterium. RNAcentral's name for it is "partial 16S ribosomal RNA". It matches the Rfam family "Bacterial small subunit ribosomal RNA", at positions 524 to 776 of the family's 1533-position model. The record is from RNAcentral.